Molecule: non-coding RNA, 10608 nt
Organism: Podarcis lilfordi (Lilford's wall lizard)
Lineage: Eukaryota; Metazoa; Chordata; Lepidosauria; Squamata; Lacertidae
Source: the annotation of a GenBank genome assembly
AACUGCUGUUCACCUGAAUAACAAGGAGUCACUGCCUGGCACGCCAACACAUUGCUCACCAUGUUCAUGAGAAUUAUGUCCUUUGCGCCUUGGACCACACUGGGGUUUCUUAACUUGCUUUUACUCUCCUGUUCCUGCAUAUUAAGUUCCCUUACCAGAGGUCUAUAAUAACAAGGUAAUGAAUCAACCACAUUUAUUUGUACACAAAAGGUAGGUAAAGGUAAAAGGUAAAGGACCCCUGGAUUGUUAAGUCCAGUCAAAGGCGACUAUGGAGUUGUGGCACUCAUCUCGCUUUCAGGCUGAGGGAGCCGGUGUUUGUCCACAGACACCUUUCUCUGUCAUGUGGCCAGCAGGACUAAACUGCUUCUGACGCAAUGGAACACCAUGACAGAAACCAGAGCACACAGAAAUGCCGUUUACCUUCCCACCACAGUGGUACCUAUUUAUCUACUUGCACUGGCAUGCUUUCAAACUGCUAGGUUGGCAGGAGCUGGGACUGAGCAAUGGGAGCUCACCCCGUCACGGGGAUCAAACCGCUGACCUUCUGAUCAGCAAGCUCAUGAGGCUCAGUGGUUUAGAUCACAGCGCCACCCACAUCCCUUUACUUUUCCAUAUGUGUGUGUGUGUGUGCGCGCGCGCGCGCUGCCCAUUUGACUGGGUUGCCCCAGCCACUCUGGGUGGCUCCCAACAAAAAAUAGUGAAAACACAAUACAGCAUCAAACUCUAUAAACUUCCCUGAACAAGACUGCCUUCAAGUGUCUUCUUAAAAUCACAUACUGUAGCUCUUUAUCUGUUUAGAAUCUGCUGGACGAUGGAGGUGGAAGCCUUUUAGGGCUUUCAGCAAAACCCUUUGAAUUGUGCUUGGAAACCUACUGGGAGCCAAUGUAAUUCUUUUAGGACCAGCGUUAUAUGGUCCUGGCAGCCACUCCCAGUCACCAGUCUAGCUGCCACAUUCUGGAUUAGUUGUAGUUUCCAAGUCACCUUCAAAGGUAGCCCCACGUAGAACGCAUUGCAGUCCAAGCGGGAGCUAACCAGAGCAUUUGCCACUCUGACGAGACAGGUAGGGUCUCAGCCUGUGUACCAGAUGGAGCUGGUAGAGAGAUGCCCUGGACACAGAAUUGACUUGUGCCUCUACACUAGUGAUGGCCAAAACUUGGCCCUCCAGCUGUUUUGGGACUGCAAUUCCCAUCAUCCCUGACCACUGGUCCUGUUAGCCAGGGAUGGUGGGAGUUGUAGUCUCAAAACAGCUGGAGGGUCAAGUUUGGCUCUAUACAUUGAUGGCACACUCAGAAGACCCCCAGCUAACUCAAGAAAAUCUUCAAACAGCCUUUUUGAGUUUCUAUUCUAUCUUACAAAGUAAGCACUAGGAAGAAAUAAAAGCAGAACAAGACAGAGAAUUGGAGGGGGGGGGAGAAAGAAGCUAACACUAAAAGAAAUGUUUGAAACAAGGAAUGUAAUAUACACCGUAUUUUCAGACGCAGCCCUAGUGCAAUAACUUAAACAGCACAGAUUACUACUUGGGGAAAUAAAAGGAGCAUAACUUUUAAACUUGAAAAAGCUCUCUUUGCUUGUUGUAAUCAAUCGCAAUAAUCCGUGACAGUGAUUUAGAUGAAGAUCAACUUUACCUUUCUUUGCUGAUGACACAGAACUAGAAGCAAUAAAAACUUAAGUGCAUUUGAAUGCACACAGCUAAUGGAUUGGAUGUGGCAUAUGCCAACAUACAAUGGCCGCGAAAUGAAUGGGAUCAAUCAAAAGAAGUUUGACAUUCUGGAAGACCUGAGGAUUCUACCUCCAGUUACCUAAUGGCUAAGAGGCUUGGCAGAGGUUGGAGCUCUGCAAUAUUUCAGCAGCUUGCUUGCUGACCCCAUAAAACGUAUUACACACACAACCCUAACAUGACCCUCGCAGUUGGCAGCUGUGGCAUUUAGCCAGCACAGGCGAUGGAGAUUGAUAUUCUCUUUCUAAAUACUUCAGAGCAGAAUGCUAUCCAGGUCCAUGUGUCUGAUGCCUGGCUUUUGACAACAUAAAAUACCACCCUGCCCAGAUAAUUGGACACCUCGGGGAACAUGAAAUUUGUUGGCAAAUAGAAGGGCAUUCAAAGGUCCAGCGCCGAGGGCCUUCUGGCGGUUCCCUCCCUGCGAGAAGCAAGGUUACAGGGAACGAGGCAGAGGGCCUUCUCAGUGGUGGCACCUUCCCCGUGGAAUGCCCUCCCAUCAGAUGUCAAAGGAAUAUCAUCAUCACCAUCAUCAUUUUUAAUUUGUAUACCGUCUUUCUAUCUUACAAUACUCAAGGCGGUUUACAAGCUGAAGAAACAAAAAAUAUACAUCUUAUAACAAUCUAAUGCAAUGCAAAAAUGUGAUAAUAAAACAUAACUUUAAAAUAGGCAACCUCCAUCAAAAAAGUAACAUUCAACAGUCAUUAGAAUAGUAUUAAAAAAAUCAACAUAUAAAAGUUAAACAGAAAUCCACUCAACAGUUGCAAUAAUAUCUAAACUAUAUAAAACAAUGGCAAGCCACAGUACAUAAAACAAUACAAUACACACUGAGAAGCAGAGGGUGGGGCAAGGCGGGUGGAAGGAGGCCUUGCCUGAUGGAGUCUCUCCCCUCACAGUUCUUCCUCCAGGACCAGCUCCCUUAUGAGGCCUCCUAGGGCCGGAGGGAGUGGCAAGGCAGGUGGAAUGAGGAGUCUCUCCCCUCACAACUACAGUGGUGCCCCGCAAGACAAAUGCCUCGCAAGACGAAAAACGCGCAAGACGAAAGAGUUUUCCGUUUUUUUAGUCAUUCCGCAAGACGAAUUUCCCUAUGGGCUUGCUUCGCAAGACGAAACGUCUUGCGAGUUCUUGUGAGUUUGUUUCCUUUUUCUUAAAGCCACUAAGCCGCUAAGCCGUUAAUAGCCGCUAAGCCGUUAAGCCGUUAAUAGCUGCUAAGCCGUUAAUAGCCGCUAAGCCAUUAAUAGUCGCUAAGCCGCUAAGCUGCUAAUAGCCGCUAAGCCACUAAGCCGUUAAUAGCGGCUAAGCCGCUAAGCCGUUAAUAGUGGCUACGCCGCUAAGCCGCUAAUAGCCGCUAAGCCGCUAAGCCAUUAAUAGCCACUAAGCCACUAAGCCGCUAAGCCGUUAAUAGCCGCUAAGCCACUAAUAGCCGCUAAUCCGCUAAUCCGCUAAUAGGGUUGCUUCGCAAGACGAAAAAACCUCAAGACGAAGAGACUCGCGGAACGGAUUAAUUUCGUCUUGCGAGGCACCACUGUAUCUGACUUUUCAAAGACAUCUGAAGGCAGCCCUGUUUAGGGAAGGUCUUUAAUGACAGAUGCUUUAAUGCAUUUUUAAGCUUCUGUUGGAAGCCGCCCAGAGUGGCUGGGGAAACCCAGCCAGAUGGGCGAGGAAGAAAUAAUUUGUUUGUUUGUUUGUUUGUUUGUUUAUUAUUAUUAUUAUUAUUAGGAAGGCAAUAGUAGAAGACACAUGAUAAUGAUGCAGAUUAGAGCAGGAUAGGGCCAGUGUCAGUGCUCAGCAACCUUGGGCUGUGGCGCCCCAAUUAGCUUUAUUUUAAAAUUUCCUACCAUGUGCCUGACAUGGCAUCGUUCUGGGACAGAGGUCACCCACCUUUGUAGGUCCAUAGGCACAUCUGGAUUUUUGGGUGCCCUUCCCCAGGGAGGCAUCAGCCGCCACCAAGGAACAGAGAGGAAAACACAUACCCGUGCACUUUCCUAUGUUCAGUAGUCACAAUUUGAGCAUGUGUGACACUAAAAUUUGGUGCCUCCCCCUGCCUCUCUCACUCCCUCCUACAGCACACACCAGGUAUAUAUUAUUAUUAUUAUUAUUAUUAUUAUUAUUAUUAUUUUGUGAACAGGGAUUUUCAACUCUAACGAAUGAAAAAUCAGAAAAGAGAAAGGCUUCUUUAUGCUGGUGAGAUGAGAGUUUGUUUCACUCGGAUUAGAUCUAAUAUAAAUGAGAUCAGGGGAUGCGGGUGGCGCUGUGGUCUAAACCACAGAGCCUAGGGCUUGCCGAUCCGAAGGUCGGCGGUUCGAAUCCCCACGACGGGGUGAGCUCCCAUUGCUCGGUCCCUGCUUCUGCCUACCUAGCAGUUUGAAAGCACGUCAAAGUGCAAGUAGAUAAAUAGGUACCUCUCCAGCGGGAAGGUAAACAGCAUUUCCAUGCACUGCUCUGGUUCGCCAGAAGCAGCUUAGUCAUGCUGGCCACAUGACUGGAAAAACUGUCUGCGGACAAACGCCGGCUCCCUCGGCCUAUAGAGCGAGAUGAGCGCACAACCCCAGAGUCGUCCUUGACUGGACCUAACGGUCAGGGGUACCUUUACCUUUAAAUGAGAUUAUCCAGGAAAAGCAAGUUUACACCUCUCACUGAGUUUCAGUACAUAUGUAAAAGGCUCAUUUAUAGUUAUAUUUUGAGAAUGCUUCGUGUUCUUAUGUAGCUGCAUUGUUUUAUACUUUCUGGAUGUCCCAUGAUCAUAGUAUAAAGUAGUUGUGUUCUUUGUUAUAAAUCAAGCACUGCUAGGAAUUGGCUCUUUUUGUUUUCCAAUGUAUUUCUUAUCAGUGAAAAAUGAAUUGCAUGUGGCACAUGCAAAUUUGUAUUCUUAAAAUGUGGCCCAGAGAGAAAAAAUUGAGAACCACUGCCUUAUAAGGUGUACAGAAGGGUUCAGGUCUGCUUUGGGUUGUCCUAGGAAACCUUCUUUCUAGUCUGUGCUGGGCGAUUGUGGUUGCCGAUAGAGAAAAGCUCAGAUGUCAUCUUUAAUCAGACCUUCUAAUAGUGAACUCAGGCAGAGAGUGAUGAUGGAUAUCUAUCCAGAACAAAGCCACCGAGACGAAACGGCAUUCUCAGAGAAAUCUCAAAGUUUAAAGAAGUACAAAAAUCUUUAAUUUUUUUAAGCAUUCAAAAAUAUUUUAAAAACAAAGCAGCCAGUGAGGAAUGGAGCAUAUCAUUUGGGCAAAAAAAGAAAAUAAGAAGAUGACUGACUAGAACCCCAAACAGGAGUUCACUGCAGAAGAUUCACUGCAAUAUUUUGCAACAUAAAUUGUUUUUUGCCUUUAGUUAAUGGUCCCAGAAGAUAAAGAUUCCGGAAUUGCUUCCUAGUCAAAAACACCAGUUCCUAGUAAAAAUCAAAUAAAAUCCUUAAUUAAAAUUAAAUAUAAAAUUAAAUUCAAAUAAUUAAAGCAAUCCUUCAUGGGCCUGGCACACAGCACUCUCAGUGGCAGGCAGUUUUAUGGCUCUGUUCCAGUUUUGGGUGCCUCAUCGAACUCAGCCCAGCUAGAAACACCCUUCUGCUGAUUCAGUGUUCCAGGUUGGGAUCCUUAGUCCUGAUUGGUGAAUAUGGAAGUCGUAAACCAUCAGCAGGGGUCGCAAAAGACUGUCCCUCUGUUCCCAGUGCCAUAAGUUUUUAUCCUCACUCGCUGGAUCUAAAAAAAUGUAGUAUAAACACUGACAACUGGGAAACACUGGCCUGCGAGUGCUCCAGUUGGAGAACAGCCUUGACCAAAGGUGUCAUGGACUUUGAAGACACUCAAACUCAGGAUGCAAGGGAGAAACGUGCUAAGAGGAAGGCACGCUUGGCAAAUCCACAUCGUGAUCAACUCCCGCCCGGGAACCAAUGUCCCCACUGUGGAAGGAUGUGUGGAUCCAGAACUGGCCUCCACAGUCACUUACAGACUCAUUCUUAAAACCGUGUUAAUGGAAGACAAUCUUACUCGGCUACGAGUGAUCACCAAAGAGAGAAGAAAUAUAAGUUUUUAUCACCCAUAUGUGAGAUGUGGUAGGUUCUGGCAGAUGGGAUCCUCAUAACAGAGGGUCCUGGUUGCGCGCGGGACCCAAGAACUCACCUGACAGGGUUAAAAUGGGGGGGAGGAGCAAGAGGUCCUGGCCGUUCCCCUGGGAUCAUGCAAGGCGAUUUUAGCCAAUACCCAGUGGGUGGCGUGAUCCAUGGGGCUUUUAAAAAAGCUGACUUACACCAACACAAAGAUGUAGUAGUAGUAAAGGUAAAGGUAAAGGGACCCCUGACCAUUAGAUCCAGUCGUGGCCGACUCUGGGGUUGCAAUCAUCUCGCUUUAUUGGCCGAGGGAGCCAGCAUACAGCUUCCGGGUCAUGUGGCCAGCAUGACUAAGCCACUUCUGGCGAACCAGAGCAGCUCACAGAAACGCUGUUUACCUUCCCGCCGGAGCGGUACCUAUUUAUCUACUUGCACUUUGACGUGCUUUCGAACUGCUAGGUUGGCAGGAGCAGGAACUGAGCAACGGGAGCUCACCCCAUCACGGGGAUUCGAACCGCCGACCUUCCGAUCGGCAAGCCUUAGGCUCUGUGGUUUAACCCACAGCGCCACCUGCGUCCCUAGUAGUAGUAGUAGUAGUAGUAGUAGUAGUUUUGUCAUUAUCAUUAUUAUCAUCAUCAUCAUUUUGUUUGUUUGUUUGUUUGUUUGUUUGUUUGUUUUGUAUACCACCCUUUGCCUGCAAGUCUCAGGGCAGUUACAACAUAAAAUCAGAAUAUAAAAACACAAAAUACAUAAUCAAAAACAACCCAAUAAUCCCCCCCAUUUUGAUCAUUUUCUGGACUUUGUAAAGUUUGUCUCUCAAACAGAAGUUCCUUUCUAGCUUUCGAAGGUGUAUUAGAUAUGUAUGUGCGCUGAAAAUGUACAGUGGUGCCCCACAAGAUGAAUGCCUCGCAAGACGAAAAACUCGCUAGACGAAAGGGUUUUGCGUUUUUUGAGUCGUUCCGCAAGACGAAUUUCCCUAUGGGCUUGCUUCGCAAGACGAAACGUCUUGCGAGUUCUUGCGAGUUUGUUUCCUUUUCUUAAAGCCGCUAAGCCGUUAAUAGCCGCUAAGCCGCUAAUAGCCGUGCUUCGCAAGACGAAAAAACCGCAAGACGAAGAGACUCGCGGAACAGAUUAAUUUCGUCUUGCGAGGCACCACUGUACAUGGAUUUGAUGCUCAUUGUGACUAUUGCGGCCUUGCCUAAAGAAUCCUGAGAACUAUAGUUUGGCAAAUGACCGAAAGAUCAGUGUUACAGGUCUCUAGCCUACAGUUCUCUGGUUCCCUGAAAGUGAGAGGGGGAAUGGCUGAUAAACUAGUUCCGCGUCUUAGAAGUGGCCUCUAUCCGGCCCGGAACUGAAUAAAACUUUCUUUGCACUUUGCCCCACUGCAAACAUUCAGCCUUCGUCUCUUUCUGAUGGAUCCUGGAAAGAAGAAGCUCGUCUGUGGCAAGUUCUCCUUUUAAGAGUGCAGGUUUUUUAAAGAUGUUCAGAGUCGGAAGCAUCCUGCCUGAGAUGGAUUGGGUGGCAGAGAUCCAGCAAUCGAUGCCACAAAAUAAAUGCAGCUUAUUGAAAGAGGCUUGGAGAGUUCAGGCCAGCAGAGAAGAGCUCACAUUACAAAUGACGGAAAGGCAAGACCCCUUGAUAUUGGUAAAGGACCCCAUUUUCACAUGGAAUGGGGGUGUGGGAAGAGAAGCUUGUAAAUAUUGGCCUGUAUUUGGUGUUCCUUAGCUCCACCCUGCUGGGACGCAGGUGGCACUGUGGGUUAAACCACAGAGCCUAGGACUUGCCAAUGAGAAGGUUGGCGGUUUGAAUCCCCGCGAUGGGGUGAGCUCCCGUUGCUCGGUCCCUGCUCCUGCCAACCUAGCAGUUCAAAAGCAUGUCAAAGUGCAAGUAGAUAAAUAGGUACCACUCCAGCGGGAAGGUAAACGGUGUUUCCGUGCACUGCUCUGGUUCCCCAGAAGCGGCUUAGUCAAGCUCCCUUGGCCGAUAAAGCGAGAUGAGCGCCGCAACCCCAGAGUUGAUCAUGACGGUCCCUUUACCUUUUACAUAGCUCCACCCUCCCUGCCACACGCAAACACACUCAACUUGUAGCCUCAGUAGAUUGGCAAAUUCUAUGGGAAGAGCAAUAAUGUGUUUGCAAAUAAAUUUGUUGGAGAAGGUACAUUUUGCACACUGCAUGGUUAUGAUGUGUGCACUUUUUGCACACAAACCUGAAAUUCUCGUACGCAAUCCAACACUCCGUCUUGUGGAUCUUUCAUCAUCAAGACCUGGAUACGCUCCAGAGUUUGGCACCCAAAAAGUUAACGCAGAGGGCAGUGAUAAAUCAGAAGUAAACAUUAGGCUAUCAGUGGGAAUUAGUGCAUUGACUAUAACAGAAAACAAACAAAAUAAGAAAACAGUAGGCAAAUGUCAGCUUCAGUUUAGGAGAGUUAAAAUGAGUACAACGGUUAUUCUUAGCAGCUUUCCUAGAAACAUACAGUAAAACUAGGAUGUGGUCAGAGAAAGGGGAGAGAGGGUGUUGGAUGAAGAGGUGAAGGUUAUACCACAUGGGUAAGCAAACUGAAGCCCGGGGGCCGGAUCCAAUCGCCUUCUAAAUCCAGCCCACAGAUGGGCCGGGAAUCAGCGUGUUUUUUACAUGAGUAGAAUGUGUCCUUUUAUUUAAAAUGCAUCUCUUGGUUAUUUGUGGGGCAUAGGAAUUCGUUCAUCAUUAUUUUUUCCAAAAUAUAGUCCGGCCCCCCACAACGUCUGAGGGACAGUGGACCGGCCCCUGCUGAAAAAGUUUGCCGACCCCUGUUGUACCAUAAAGGCAGGGGAAUGAGGGAGGUUUGGGAUGUGGGGCUUUGGGGAGUUUUCAGAUUAAAGUCAGAAGAAAGGUGGGAGGCUGAGAUGAGUGAGAGUAGCAGGAGGCUGAGAUUUUGGGUUGAGACAACUAAAGAGGAAGAAAUAAGCACAGCAAGGGAGGGAAGAGGGCAAGAAAGAGGGGGCCUGACUGCAUGGGUGCAGCCAGGGGGCAGGGAGGGGCAGCUGCCCCCUAAAUAAAUAAAAAUAAAUUAAAAAAAUACAUAGCAAACUGAAGUUCUGCCCCUCCCCAUGACAAAAGCCCUGCAAAAAUCCUGGCUACGCCUAUGCCUGACUGAGAAUCAAAGCAGAAGGUUAAAGGGUUGCAGAAUAGGUUUCUGAUAGGUUGCAGAAGGAGAGUUUAAUAUUUUUUUCCUCAUUCUUUGGGGUUCCUGGUCUUGAUGGUGAGAGUCCUCAAGAAAGUUCUUGACUGGAGAGAGAGAGAGAUCUUUGGUAUCAAGAUUCCUAGCUAGCAAGGUGGAAAGCCUCACCUCUCCUGCAAUGGAUGGAUGCUGCCCACUGAGAAGAGUUUGUCUAAAACAUUUGCAAAAUGGCUUCAAUAUUCAAUAUAUAUUCAUUCUGUCUGUCUCUGUCUGUCUGUCUGUCUAUCUUACUCUGGUGUCUAGGUGACACGGGGGGGGGGGGAGAUUAACAUAUCUCAGGAUCACUACCCCUCCACACCUACAGAAAUUAAAUUGCCAACAAAUAUAAUGAAAAUGAUUUACAGAUGGUAUUUGACUCCUGUAAAAUUAGCAAAGAUAUAUCAUAACUGUGACAAUCUAUGUUGGAAAUGUAAAGAAAAGGAAGGAACCUUUUUUCAUAUGUGGUGGACUUGUCCCAAGGUGAAAAAUUUCUAGGAAAAGAUUUAUAAUGAACUGAAAAAAAUGUUGAAAUAUACAUUUAUAAAGAAACCAGAGUAUAACAGGUUUGGGAUUCCCCAGGAAAUAUGUUAAAUUAUUUUUGUAUGCCACAACUGCGGCUCAUAUUUUGUUAGCUAAAAAGUGGAAAACCCAAGAAUUACCAAUGAUAGAAGAAUGUCAGAUGAAGAUGAUGGAUUCUUCGGAGCUAGCCGACCUAACCGGAAGAGUCCGCGACCAGGAGGAGGAGGCGUAUCAGGAAGAGUGGAUUCAAUUUAGUGAUUACUUAGUUAAAUAUGUUAAGUUAAAUUAACUGAAAACAGCUUGCAGACAUUUCAUUGGCUUAAGAUUUUAUUUAUGUUAAGUGUCGAAUUAAUAUGUUUAAUUUCAUAAUGUGAAGAUCUAAGGAUGUUAAUGUUUAAGUUAAAUUUUACAAGAACUGUGAUUUGGAAAACUGUUAAAAAGAUAUGCAAUGAAAUUCAACCAAGGGGAAGCGAGGAAGUCACUUAACAAUGUUAAUAAGUGUAAUUUCAAUAAGGCUAUGAUUUAUGUUUGUUUGUCUUAUGUGUUUGUUUGUUUAUAAUCUUGUGAAAACCAAUUAAAAAAAUUGAAGGGGAAAAAAAAAGAAAUUAAAUUGUCAACGGACUAGAAGGACCAUCACUUCCUUAGCAGAUUGCUGCUCCAUGCAAGACAGGUGAAUGGAGGUGAAUAAGAAGGUUCUCUUUCCUCCUCCACAGGCAAAAAGAAGAGGAAGGAGAGGAAACCACGAGCUCUUUGGAGAAAGGUGUGUGGAAAUUUAAGUAAAAGAAACGUGCUGUCACUGCAUCGCACCUCCUCUUUUGCUUACCCAACACCCCAGAGGGUGAGGCAGCUCAAGUCUGGCAGUCGAGAGUUGACCAUGCAAGCCAGCCUCAAGUCCAUCCCCAUCUGCAGAAAGAAGGCCACAGCUGCGGGCGGCUGUGAGGGCUUCCCUUGCUGCAAGGACCAAGGGAAGGCAAAGCCCUGAGGUCUAGCCAGCUCCUUGACAGUCUAGUUUUCUAAGUGAGGGGAGAAAGACUUUCUGUUGCUCAUCAGGCAAUGGUGUUUCCAUCUGCGUUGCUCCACCUCACUUUUCCCAGAUUAUGACUUUGAGAACAACAGCAGCAGCUGGGAAGAGAGGAAUUCAG